Molecule: ribosomal RNA, 1500 nt
Filed under: Campylobacter jejuni
Lineage: Bacteria; Pseudomonadati; Campylobacterota; Epsilonproteobacteria; Campylobacterales; Campylobacteraceae
Description: partial 23S ribosomal RNA
Rfam family: Bacterial large subunit ribosomal RNA
Source: RNAcentral
AGGUAAGCUACUAAGAGCGAAUGGUGGAUGCCUUGACUGGUAAAGGCGAUGAAGGACGUACUAGACUGCGAUAAGCUACGGGGAGCUGUCAAGAAGCUUUGAUCCGUAGAUUUCCGAAUGGGGCAACCCAAUGUAUAGAGAUAUACAUUACCUAUAUAGGAGCGAACGAGGGGAAUUGAAACAUCUUAGUACCCUCAGGAAAAGAAAUCAAUAGAGAUUGCGUCAGUAGCGGCGAGCGAAAGCGCAAGAGGGCAAACCCAGUGCUUGCACUGGGGGUUGUAGGACUGCAAUGUGCAAGAGGUAAGUUUAGCAGAACAUUCUGGAAAGUAUAACCAUAGAGGGUGAUAGUCCCGUAUGCGAAAAACAAACCUUAGCUAGCAGUAUCCUGAGUAGGGCGGGACACGAGGAAUCCUGUCUGAAUCCGGGUCGACCACGAUCCAACCCUAAAUACUAAUACCAGAUCGAUAGUGCACAAGUACCGUGAGGGAAAGGUGAAAAGAACUGAGGUGAUCAGAGUGAAAUAGAACCUGAAACCAUUUGCUUACAAUCAUUCAGAGCCCUAUGUAGCAAUACAGGGUGAUGGACUGCCUUUUGCAUAAUGAGCCUGCGAGUUGUGGUGUCUGGCAAGGUUAAGCAAACGCGAAGCCGUAGCGAAAGCGAGUCUGAAUAGGGCGCUUAGUCAGAUGCUGCAGACCCGAAACGAAGUGAUCUAUCCAUGAGCAAGUUGAAGCUAGUGUAAGAACUAGUGGAGGACUGAACCCAUAGGCGUUGAAAAGCCCCGGGAUGACUUGUGGAUAGGGGUGAAAGGCCAAUCAAACUUCGUGAUAGCUGGUUCUCUCCGAAAUAUAUUUAGGUAUAGCGUUGUGUCGUAAUAUAAGGGGGUAGAGCACUGAAUGGGCUAGGGCAUACACCAAUGUACCAAACCCUAUCAAACUCCGAAUACCUUAUAUGUAAUCACAGCAGUCAGGCGGCGAGUGAUAAAAUCCGUCGUCAAGAGGGAAACAACCCAGACUACCAGCUAAGGUCCCUAAAUCUUACUUAAGUGGAAAACGAUGUGAAGUUACUUAAACAACCAGGAGGUUGGCUUAGAAGCAGCCAUCCUUUAAAGAAAGCGUAAUAGCUCACUGGUCUAGUGAUUUUGCGCGGAAAAUAUAACGGGGCUAAAGUAAGUACCGAAGCUGUAGACUUAGUUUACUAAGUGGUAGGAGAGCGUUCUAUUUGCGUCGAAGGUAUACCGGUAAGGAGUGCUGGAGCGAAUAGAAGUGAGCAUGCAGGCAUGAGUAGCGAUAAUUAAUGUGAGAAUCAUUAACGCCGUAAACCCAAGGUUUCCUACGCGAUGCUCGUCAUCGUAGGGUUAGUCGGGUCCUAAGUCGAGUCCGAAAGGGGUAGACGAUGGCAAAUUGGUUAAUAUUCCAAUACCAACAUUAGUGUGCGAUGGAAGGACGCUUAGGGCUAAGGGGGCUAGCGGAUGGAAGUGCUAGUCUAAGGUCGUAGGAGGUU